Molecule: non-coding RNA, 87 nt
Organism: Callithrix jacchus (white-tufted-ear marmoset)
Lineage: Eukaryota; Metazoa; Chordata; Mammalia; Primates; Cebidae
Source: Rfam
NNUCAAGCUGUGACAUUCCAGAGGGUUGCACUUUCUGCUGUCUAAAAUAAAAGAAAGUGCUUCCCUUUAGAGUGUUACGGUUUGAGG